GGGGAUUUGGCUCAGCGGUAGAGCGAGUGCCUAGCAAGUGCAAGGCCCUGGGUUCGGUCCCCAGCUCCG
Molecule: transfer RNA, 69 nt
Filed under: Rattus norvegicus (Norway rat)
Lineage: Eukaryota; Metazoa; Chordata; Mammalia; Rodentia; Muridae
Rfam family: tRNA
About the family: Transfer RNA (tRNA) molecules are approximately 80 nucleotides in length. Their secondary structure includes four short double-helical elements and three loops (D, anti-codon, and T loops).
Source: Rfam by way of RNAcentral